UACGUAGGGGGCAAGCGUUGUCCGGAUUUAUUGGGCGUAAAGAGCGUGUAGGCGGCCAUGUAGGUCCGUUGUGAAAACUCGAGGCUCAACCUCGAGACGCCGAUGGAAACCAUGUGGCUAGAGUCCGGAAGAGGAGAGUGGAAUUCCUGGUGUAGCGGUGAAAUGCGCAGAUAUCAGGAAGAACACCCGUGGCUAAGGCGGCUCUCUAGUAGCGGUACUGACGCUGAGACGCGAAAGCGUGGGGAGCGAACAGG
This 254-nucleotide ribosomal RNA is filed under the name uncultured bacterium. RNAcentral's name for it is "partial 16S ribosomal RNA". It matches the Rfam family "Bacterial small subunit ribosomal RNA", at positions 524 to 776 of the family's 1533-position model. The record is from RNAcentral.